UUAAUCUUCAAUUCAAUUCACAGUCUAAGACUGGUAAAAACUUAACAGUUCAAGUCCUAACCAAGGACCUAAGCACUGUUAAGGUAACAUCUUGAGUAUAUAGGCAGUUCCGAGUAAGGUGGGUUUUUGCAUCCAGUC
Notechis scutatus (mainland tiger snake) is the source of this 138-nucleotide non-coding RNA. NCBI's taxonomy places the organism in Eukaryota, Metazoa, Chordata, Lepidosauria, Squamata, Elapidae. The record is from RefSeq and is a predicted model, not a curated record.